This 305-nucleotide ribosomal RNA is filed under the name uncultured bacterium. Its description in RNAcentral is "bacterial SSU rRNA". It matches the Rfam family "Bacterial small subunit ribosomal RNA", at positions 337 to 639 of the family's 1533-position model. The record is from RNAcentral.
CCCUACGGGGGGCAGCAGUGAGGAAUAUUGGUCAAUGGGCGGGAGCCUGAACCAGCCAAGUCGCGUGAGGGAAGACGGUCCUAUGGAUUGCAAACCUCUUUAGGCGGGGAGCAAUGCCGGGCACGCGUGCCCGGAGGGAGAGUACCCGCAGAAUAAGCAUCGGCUAACUCCGUGCCAGCAGCCGCGGUAAUACGGAGGAUGCGAGCGUUAUCCGGAUUUAUUGGGUUUAAAGGGUGCGCAGGCGGCACGGCAAGCCGGCGGUCAAAUCGCGGGGCUCAACCCCGCCCAGCCGUCGGAACUGCCGG